This 307-nucleotide ribosomal RNA is filed under the name uncultured Chitinivorax sp. Its description in RNAcentral is "bacterial SSU rRNA". It matches the Rfam family "Bacterial small subunit ribosomal RNA", at positions 758 to 1064 of the family's 1533-position model. Lineage: Bacteria; Pseudomonadati; Pseudomonadota; Betaproteobacteria. The record is from RNAcentral.
AACGUGGGAGCAAACAGAUUAGAUACCCUGGUAGUCCACGCCCUAACGAUGUCUACUAGUUGUUGGGGAGGGAGACCUCCUGGUGACGCAGCUAACGCGUGAAGUAGACCGCCUGGGGAGUACGGUCGCAAGAUUAAAACUCAAAGGAAUUGACGGGGGCCCGCACAAGCGGUGGAUUAUGUGGAUUAAUUCGAUGCAACGCGAAAAACCUUACCUGGCCUUGACAUGCCACUAACGAAGCAGAGAUGCAUCAGGUGCUCGAAAGAGAAAGUGGACACAGGUGCUGCAUGGCUGUCGUCAGCUCGUG